GAUGAACGCUGGCGGCGUGCCUAAUACAUGCAAGUCGAGCGAACGGACGAGAAGCUUGCUUCUCUGAUGUUAGCGGCGGACGGGUGAGUCACACGUGGAUCACCUACCUAUAUGACUGGUAUCACUUCGGGACACCGUAUCUAAUACCGGAUAAUCUUUUGCACCGCAUUGUUCAAUAGUGAACUUCGGUCUUUCUGUCACUUCUCGCUGCAUCCGCGCUGCAUUAGCUAGUUGGUACGUUCACGGCUUACCACGGCAACGAUGCAUAGCCGACCUGAGAGGGUGAUAGGCCACAUGGGAACGGAAACAGGGACAAGACGCCUAAGGGAGGCAGCAGAAGGGAAUGUGACGCAAUAGGCGAAAGCAUGACGGAGCAAGGCCGCGUGAGUGAUGAAGGUCUUCGGAGCGUAAAAAUCCGUUAUGAGGGAAGAACAGAUGUGGAAGGAAAUGUGCACAGAGUGACGGUACCUAAUCAGAAAGCAACGGCUAACUACGUG
This 497-nucleotide ribosomal RNA is filed under the name uncultured bacterium. RNAcentral describes it as "partial 16S ribosomal RNA". It matches the Rfam family "Bacterial small subunit ribosomal RNA", at positions 28 to 507 of the family's 1533-position model. The record is from RNAcentral.